GCAAUCCCUAGCUCAAUCCCUAAUUCAUUUUCUGAAUCCCCAAUGCCCUUCGCUACGUGCUUCUCCUCCUCUCUCCCAACCGUGACAGUUCCAAGGCUCACCAUUUUAGAAAAUAAGAAUGAUAUUUUGGUACUCAUUCUCAGCUCUAGUAUUUGCCCACAUUCAACAGAUUGAAUUGAACUCGGGGAAUCUGUCGGUUAUCAUUCUGGUUCUUGGGUUCCAGGAGCUUUUGGCAACUUAUAUUUUGAAAAUCCCAGGCGAAUGCAAUACCAAUCUCCAGAAGAAUAUGAUGAUGCACUAAGGGGAAGAAAGAAUGGUGGUGUGUCAGCCAUCAUUGAUGUAGUACCAUACCUUAAAGUAAUCAUUUCCAAGUACGCUGCUGAUUUCACCAUGAUUAACUCCAAGAGGACCAAGACUAUCUCAGGCGGUUUUGGCUUUGUUCUCCCUAAAGGUUCACUACUUGUCCAAGACAUGUCGAGUGCAAUCAUGAAGCUAAGAGAGGAAGAAAAGCUGCAAAUGAUGGAAAAUAAAGGUUUAACAAUGCUGAAUCAAUCUUCACAAACCAGGA
Molecule: long non-coding RNA, 568 nt
Organism: Hibiscus syriacus
Lineage: Eukaryota; Viridiplantae; Streptophyta; Magnoliopsida; Malvales; Malvaceae
Exons: 3
Source: RefSeq, a predicted model, not a curated record